This 794-nucleotide ribosomal RNA is filed under the name uncultured archaeon. RNAcentral describes it as "bacterial SSU rRNA". It matches the Rfam family "Archaeal small subunit ribosomal RNA", at positions 85 to 887 of the family's 1478-position model. The record is from RNAcentral.
ACGGCUCAGUAACACGUGGAUAACCUGCCCUAAGGUGGAGGAUAACCCCGGGAAACUGGGGAUAAUACUCCAUAGGUUAAAGGUACUGGAAUGUUCUUUAACCGAAAGUUCCGGCGCCUUAGGAUGGAUCUGCGGCCGAUUAGGUUGUUGUUGGGGUAGUGGCCCAACAAGCCUGUAAUCGGUACGGGUUGUGGGAGCAAGAGCCCGGAGAUGGAAUCUGAGACACGAUUCCAGGCCCUACGGGGCGCAGCAGGCGCGAAAACUUUACAAUGCAGGAAACUGUGAUAAGGGAACCCCGAGUGCCCGUAUAUGCGGGCUGUCCGGAUGUUUAAAACGCAUCCGAAGAAAGGGCCGGGCAAGACCGGUGCCAGCCGCCGCGGUAAUACCGGCGGCUCGAGUGGUGGCCACUUUUAUUGGGCUUAAAGCGUUCGUAGCUUGAAUAAUAAGUCUCUUGGGAAAUCUGCAGGCUUAACCUGCAGGCGUUUAAGAGAAACUGUUGUUCUAGGAACCGGAAGAGGUGAGAGGUACUCCGGGGGUAGGAGUGAAAUCCUGUAAUCCCCGGGGGACCACCGAUGGCGAAGGCAUCUCACCAGGACGGCUUCGACAGUGAGGAACGAAAGCUGGGGGAGCGAACCGGGAUUAGAUACCCGGGUAGUCCCAGCCGUAAACGAUGUGCGUUAGGUGUGCCGGUGACCACGAGUCACUGGGGUGCCGAAGGGAAACCGUGAAACGUACCGCCUGGGAAGUACGGCCGCAAGGCUGAACUUAAAGGAAUUGGCGGGGGAGCACAAGGG